Molecule: non-coding RNA, 1123 nt
Organism: Chelonoidis abingdonii (Abingdon island giant tortoise)
Lineage: Eukaryota; Metazoa; Chordata; Testudines; Testudinidae
Source: RefSeq, a predicted model, not a curated record
CUUCACAGAGAAAUCAACUCAGUCUUCACUAGCUUGGGCAUUCGGGUCUGUUGGAUAUACAUUAAACCCUCAGGGCCGUCCUUGCACCCACGGCCAAAUUUUGUUUUGUGAAAAUGAUGAUGAGGAAAGUGGAACCCAAGGUCAUAGACUAUGCAGAUUAGUAGGAACAUCUGGCUUUUGAGGGGAAAAAUGACAGGCCAGUUCUUUCAUGUAGCAGUACAUUAAGAUCAACCAGCAAAAAGGUUCUUUGUCUGCUCCUGUAUUUCUCUCACUACAUGCUCCAUCAGCAGCCAGCACCUGGUGACUACUCUCCACCACUCCAGUUUGUUACACCUUCAGUUGCACUCUAAAUGCUCUUCAGUAACCAGGAUACACUAGCAUCAUUGGCUUUAAAGAGUGUGACAUAGAAAAGCAUCUGUCCCUUGCUUCCAAUCAUUUAUGUCCCUUUCAGAAGAGAGUUGUAUUAUUGUUGAUCAUCCUGCUGUACAAUACCUCAAAUCUCCACUGGACUGUGCCCCAGAAGAAUCAGCAGUAGAGAAAAGAUCUGGACAUAGUUGGAGAAAGAUCAGAAUCAUAGAGACGUCUGGAAGCAGACAUUUACAUGGUUCAGUUGACAUGUGAAGGAGAGCCGUGUGGAAAUUCUUCACAAAACCAGUACUAUCUCCCCCACAGCUGUGACUUACCCUCUCAUUAUGCUGAAUGUUUCAGUGAGUCACUCGGCAGGUGCAAGAACUUUCCCAGUCCUGAAUUAUAUAAGCACAUAUGUCUCUUCAAAUGCUAAUGGAAGGUGGAGAAAGUCUAGUCCAUGAACUGCUGGCAAUGAAUAGCCAUUUAAGCUCAAAUUAAAGCAACAUUCCUAAUCUUCAGAAAUUUAUUUGGAUACAUAAACCUAAUAUUAAGUGACAUUUGUGUUUUCCAUUUUCUUGAGCAAAUACUUUUGAAUAUGGUUUUAUAGAGUCGUGAUUACAAAGUACUAUAAAUUAUACUCAUAAGUAAAAAGGUUAAAGCUUAAUGUUUAAUCUGUCAACACCUCUUAUAAAUGAGAGAUGUUGUAUGUUAUUUCCUUUGGAAUUAAUUAUUUUUAUUAUCCUGGUCUCUUGUAAAACAGAAUUAAGAUAUUUGA